This 465-nucleotide ribosomal RNA is filed under the name uncultured bacterium. RNAcentral's name for it is "bacterial SSU rRNA". It matches the Rfam family "Bacterial small subunit ribosomal RNA", at positions 338 to 795 of the family's 1533-position model. The record is from RNAcentral.
CCUACGGGGGGCAGCAGUGGGGAAUAUUGGACAAUGGGGGAAACCCUGAUCCAGCGAUGCCGCGUGGGUGAAGAAGGCCUUCGGGUUGUAAAGCCCUUUAGGUUGGGACGAAGUUUAGUAGAAGAUAACGCUAUUAAAUUGACGGUACCGACAGAAUAAGCACCGGCAAACUCUGUGCCAGCAGCCGCGGUAAUACAGAGGGUGCGAGCGUUAAUCGGAUUUACUGGGCGUAAAGGGUGCGUAGGCGGUUUUAUAAGUGUGAUGUGAAAGCCCUGGGCUUAACCUAGGAAGUGCAUCGCAAACGGUAGAACUAGAGUAUGAGAGAGGGUGGUGGAAUUUCCGGUGUAGCGGUGAAAUGCGUAGAGAUCGGAAGGAACGUCAAUGGCGAAGGCAGCCACCUGGCUCAAAACUGACGCUGAGGCACGAAAGCGUGGGGAGCGAACAGGAUUAGAUACCCUAGUAGUC